CCUACGGGAGGCAGCAGUGAGGAAUAUUGGUCAAUGGGCGGAAGCCUGAACCAGCCAAGUAGCGUGCGGGAUGAAGGCCCUACGGGUCGUAAACCGCUUUUGCACGGGGAUAACACCCUCCACUUGUGGAGGUCUGCAGGUACCGUUCGAAUAAGGGCCGGCUAAUUCUGUGACAGCAGCCGCGUUAAUACGGAAGGCCCGAGCGUUAUCCGGGUUCCGUGGGCUUAAAGGGCGCAUAGGCGGGCGUUCAAGUCAGCUGUAAAAACGCGCGGCUCAACCGCGCACCGCAGUUGAAACUGGACGCCUUGAGUGCACAACAGGCAGGCGGAAUUCGUGGUGUAGCGGUGAAAUGCAUAGAUAUCACGAGGAACCCCGAUUGCGAAGGCAGCCUGCCGGGGUGCGACUGACGCUGAGGCUCGAAGGUGCGGGUAUCAAACAGGAUUAGAUACCCUUGUAGUC
RNAcentral lists this ribosomal RNA (459 nucleotides) under uncultured bacterium. RNAcentral describes it as "partial 16S ribosomal RNA". It matches the Rfam family "Bacterial small subunit ribosomal RNA", at positions 338 to 795 of the family's 1533-position model. The record is from RNAcentral.